Camelus dromedarius (Arabian camel) is the source of this 2029-nucleotide long non-coding RNA. RefSeq lists it as uncharacterized. The record is from RefSeq and is a predicted model, not a curated record. NCBI's taxonomy places the organism in Eukaryota, Metazoa, Chordata, Mammalia, Artiodactyla, Camelidae. The transcript is spliced from 3 exons.
GAGUGUGGUUGUGUGGGCGAAAUUCCGGAGGCGGUUCGUGUAGCAAGCGGCGGGAGGUGGGGGAGGUCUUAUCAGGCGAGGCAGCGGGUUCGCAGAGCGCUCCUUAGCCACUAAAGCUACCGACUCGGAGUCUCCCAAACAAUGAGCCCAAAGGGCGCUUGACUGAAGACCAGCGUGACAGAAGAAAAUGAGAGUCAUUUCCUGACGAGGAGAAAGAGGGAGCCGAGAACCCCCGAGACCAAUAAAGGCGGCUCCGAGGGCAGAACUUUAGGAGCGGGCGCAGGCUGCGCUCUCAGCUCUUGGGUCGCUACUCCGCACCGUCAGGUGACCUCACCUGGCUACUUCAAGGGGUUCCUUUGGCGGGCAGGGCUUUCGCCUCAGGCCCGAUCCUCAGAGACAAAGUGCUGGGGUGUCAACUCUUAAGACCUUCACUUCUGUAAGAAACGCGCCAUUUCAGUGUCAUUUGAGUUCUUGCUACAUCCGGGCCAGCUGUUUUUGCUGUAAACAAGACAGACUGAACUUUCCAUUCUUUGGGAGAAGUUGUUUGUUAAGCACACAUACACAGUCGGAAUUAGCAGUAUCGGGGACCAAGAGUUGUCAUAUUCUGUAGCAAAAGCUGCUAAGCAAAUCUUUUGCUUUCCGUCUUAUGAUCAGAUUCAGCGCUAAGAAGAAAAGGAAUCCUGAGAGCCACCUUUGGUGGCCUGAAUGUCCUGAUCAACAUAAGCAGAGUCAUGGAAUUUUGAUGUCAGAGACUUGGGAAUAUAAGGGAUCACACCACACCAGCUAUGGUAGCCUUGAAAAGAGAAUCCAGCUCUUCACCACGGAUUGCAAGCUGCAGGUGACAUGGAGUGAUCUGCUCUACUCUGAAAUCCUUGGAAGCAUUACUUGCCACUCCAGCACCUCAGCAGUGAGGCACCCCAGAAUUGCAGCACUAUAUACUGCAGUAGUGGCACCAACCCUUCCAUGGCUCAUGGUGCAAGUCUUCACAUGUCUGUGGACGCAGCCCAUGGGAAGCUGUCACCCAGCUAUCUUAGGGGCAUCCAGUCGAAGACCCUUUCUUGCCUUGCUAAACUCACACCUGACCCAGGAGUUGGAGAAGUUAACAGAGGAUCCAGAGGAAAGUGGAGAGCUGCAAGGCUGGUCACUGACACUCACUGAAGAGGAUUAGGGAUGGCAGGUUCCAUCGCCAAAUCUCACAGAAGAAUCUUAUAUUUCCUUUCCCAUUCGGAAACACACAUGAAAGGGAUUCCGGGCAAUGUCCUUCUGCUUAGCCAGGCUGCCACAGCAUGAAGCCACCACCUCUGGUUUUCCUCCUUCCUUCCUUCCUUCCUUCCUUCCUUCCUUCCUUCCUUCCUUCCUUCCUUCCUUCCUUCCUUUCUUUUCUUUCUUUUCUUUCUUUCUCUCUCUCUCUCUUUCUUUCUUUUUUUUUUUGUCAGGGAGGUAAUCAGGUUUCUUUUUUUAGUGGAAGUGUUGGAGAUUGAAUCCAGGACCUCGUGCAUGCUAAGCAUGCACUCUACCACUGAGCUCUACCCUUCCCUCCCCUCCUAGUUUCUUUAUAGCACUCCAUGUGGCCUGCCUCUUGGGAUGCCCUGACAAAAGCAAGAGUUUAGGUAGUUUCCAUGAUUCCUGACAUGAGGCUGUCUGUGAUGCAGGGAAGUUUUGAUUUCUCCUUCCUUAUAUAGAAGAAUAAGCCCUAUCUUUUCUUUCCUCCCCCUGCUGCCCUCCCCAUCUCUCAUUGCCACCCACACACUAAACCACUUAACUUACUUUUUAUUUUUAUUGAAGUAUAGUUGAUUCACAAUACUGUGUUUCAGGUGUACAGCAAAGUGAUUCACAUAUAUGUAUAUAUUUUCAGAUUAUUUUCCAUUAUAGGUUAUUACAAGAUACUGAAUAUAGUUCCCUGUGCUAUACAGUAAAUCCUGUUGUUUAUCUAUUUUAUAUAUAGUAGUGUGUAUCUGUUAAACCCAUACUCUUAAUUUAUCCACACCCUCACCCCAGGACCCUUUGGUAACCAUAAGUGUUUUCUUUG